RNAcentral lists this non-coding RNA (126 nucleotides) under Phaseolus vulgaris (common bean). The record is from RNAcentral. Lineage: Eukaryota; Viridiplantae; Streptophyta; Magnoliopsida; Fabales; Fabaceae.
GUGUUCGUUAAAAGGAGAGAUGGUUGGCAUCUCCCCUGACAGGGACGGGAACAGCCUUCGGGCUUUUCUCUAUCACAUCGGUUAAAGGCUACCCACCUCUCGGUGGAUCUAUAACCCAAUUUUUUU